UGGGGAAUUUUGGACAAUGGGGGCAACCCUGAUCCAGCAAUGCCGCGUGUGUGAAGAAGGCCUUCGGGUUGUAAAGCACUUUUGUCCGGAAAGAAAACGCCGUGGUUAAUACCCGUGGCGGAUGACGGUACCGGAAGAAUAAGCACCGGCUAACUACGUGCCAGCAGCCGCGGUAAUACGUAGGGUGCAAGCGUUAACCGGAAUUACUGGGCGUAAAGCGUGCGCAGGCGGUCCGCUAAGACAGAUGUGAAAUCCCCGGGCUUAACCUGGGAACUGCAUUUGUGACUGGCGGGCUAGAGUAUGGCAGAGGGGGGUAGAAUUCCACGUGUAGCAGUGAAAUGCGUAGAGAUGUGGAGGAAUACCGAUGGCGAAGGCAGCCCCCUGGGCCAAUACUGACGCUCAUGCACGAAAGCGUGGGGGAGCAAACAGGAUUAGAUACCCUGGUAGUCCACGCCCUAAACGAUGUCAACUAGUUGUCGGGUCUUCAUUGACUUGGUAACGUAGCUAACGCGUGAAGUUGACCGCCUGGGGAGUACGGUCGCAAGAUUAAAACUCAAAUGAAUU
This 564-nucleotide ribosomal RNA is filed under the name uncultured bacterium. Its description in RNAcentral is "partial 16S ribosomal RNA". It matches the Rfam family "Bacterial small subunit ribosomal RNA", at positions 355 to 911 of the family's 1533-position model. The record is from RNAcentral.